GCCCAUCCACGCUCGGUUGCCUCAGGGCAAAAAGAUGCGGACAUUGGCCCUCCGAACCGCGAGGUGCGGUGGGCCCAAGUGUGCGGCCGUCGUGCGUGGCCGGGAGCGGCGAGUGGUGGGCUACUGCGCACGUCAUCCCCGAGCUCCGUACCGGCACAGGGCCUUGUUUGACCCCCUAACGAGGAGCAUGCCGUCGCGGCCUGUGCUGCGCGGCGCCUUCGGACC
RNAcentral lists this unclassified non-coding RNA (225 nucleotides) under Carex neesii. Lineage: Eukaryota; Viridiplantae; Streptophyta; Magnoliopsida; Poales; Cyperaceae. The record is from RNAcentral.